AGUUUCCGCAGUCGAUGAUGGCGUUGUAGGAGGCGUUUACCGAGCCGAAGUAGUACUGGGUCUGUUUCAUGACGCAGCUGCUCUCGCGCGUCUCGGGGCUCCCCUCGGCCUCCGCGGGGUCUGCGAGGGCCCAGAGCGCCUCAGCUCCGCCCACAGACCCUGGCAAGGUCUCCGGCCUCCCUCAGUCGUAGACCCCACCCUCCCCAUGGAGUCGUCUUAGCUCAGAUUGGGGACCCGGACUUGAGGAGGCGCCUCCAAAGCCCUACCUACCUGCUUGGAACCAGCUGUGGUAGAUGAGGCCGUAGAGAAGCUGCUGGAACAGGGACCUGCAGCGCACGGGGAGCCGAGUGCAGGUGGUCAGCAGAGGACGAUGCCAUGCCCUACUUCUCUUCUGAGCCCUCCCGGCCAGGGAGCACCUUCUCUACCCACCUCCCGCUCAGGACUCACCAGGCGGCAGCAGAGGUCCACCAGGCCAGGUUAAGGAAAUCUGCAACGGUGGGCUGCAGUGGAGAGAGGGGCGUGGACUGCCACUGCUGCCCCUCGCCCUAGGUCACCCCCAGCUUUAUCAAAUGUCAGAGGUAGGGGGUCAUCUGUGGGCAGGUCUCCCAGUCCCCCCCAUCUCCAGUCCAGGCAUCUCUGGGGACUCACCACAAAGACACCCCGGGGUGCAGCACCCAGGUUGCCAGGGGGCUGAGGGGCACAGGCUGCCUGAUAGUCAUAGGACUCCUUGCGGGUGUAGAAGGAGUUAUUGUAGAGUGCCAGCAUCAGGUUGGCAUCCACCUCACUGAAGAACCUGCCCACCUGAGGAUGUCAGGAGAAAGCCAUGGUCACAGGGCUGGCAGUGCUACACCCCUAGAAGGCUCAAAUCCCUACUCUCUUCUUUCACUCUCUUCCUGAUCCUCACCUGGUCCCACUGAUGGUUCUGGUUUGACAGCACCAGGAAUCCUCCAUCAUCAAUGAGGACACAGAUCCAUCUCACAGUGGCUGUUGGGGCCGCACUGCUGGGCAGAGAGUGAGGACCGUAAGCCACCCACCAGUUUUCCUCCCUCCCAUCACCUUUCAUACAUCCGGUUCCCCAGGCCAUCUGCAGCUGGCCCUGCCUCCAUGUAGGUGUUGGAGCCACUGAGUGGAGGGUUGGUGGGGGUUCCAGGGGACUCCAGGAAGGGCACUGCUGGGUUACUGCCCCCGCCCCUGCCCAAAUACCUUCUGAGGCUGGUCUUGGUGGGUACGGUUGCUGGCUAGCACCUUGAACUUCUCAGCCCAAGCCUCUAGGUCCAGCUUGACGCCCACCACUUUGGGGGAGAGCAAGGGACCAUCAGUGCUACCUGCCCAGGCAGUACCCUGUCCAUUGCCUGUUUCCCCACCUCUGUCCCAAACAUUCACCUGCUGGCCUCAGUGUGCGCCUGCCUAGGCUGAGCUCCACAGCUGUGCUGACGAGGAUGCCCACAGUGUCAUUCUCCAGCUCCAGCGGCCUUAACAGGGCUGGGGGUUGGGUGGGGAAGUCAGGAGUGGGGUCUGGCGGCCACACUGACCACUCUAUGCUGGGUCCUACAAACCCAGCAGUCCAAUCCCGGGAUGACUCCAGCCCAAGCACCCAGCACUCAGGACAGUGUUUGGCACAGUCUAUCCCUCUUUUCACGUCUGCCCUGGCCUCAGCCAGCCUUGUGUUGGAGAGGGGCCUCAGACAGCAGAGCCCAGUUCUGGCUGAGCAGACAGGGAAGCUGAGGCUCCCUGCCUGCUGCUGGGCACACUGCGGGGACACUCACCAUCCUGGUGUGGGGGCUUGAAGACAUAACCGUGGUUAUCCAGGCUGCGGCGGUAGAAGCUGGCAUUGAAGGGCUCAGGGUUCUCUGUCCAGUCCUCAGCUGCCCUGGAGCACCCAAGAGGCAGACUGGCUGGGUGAUGCCUACGUGUUGAGAUCCUGGUCCCUCCACACACGCUCUACCAGCUGCUGCGUGAUGCCCGUGUCCAAGAUCAGGUUGUGCAGAAGGAAGUUGUUGCCUGGAACAGGAGGGGAGGGGUGGGGGUGGGGGCAUCUUCUUGCAGCUCCUUGCCCACCCUCACCCCCACCCUUAAGGCUCCACCAGGAGCCUCCUCCAUGACCUGGCCCUGGCCCAGGCCCAGCCCUUAGCUUGUGCCUGCUUAUUUCCACACCUGCCCGGCCUCUGGGUUCCUCUGGGCUGGCCCCAUGCUGCCUGGGCACUGCCCAGAGCCAGCUGCCCUGCCAGGCACUCACACUGCUUGGAGUCUGGAGUCACUUUCUCCAUGAGCUCAAUAAAGUUUUUCAGGAACUCGGUG
Molecule: long non-coding RNA, 2298 nt
Filed under: Homo sapiens (human)
Lineage: Eukaryota; Metazoa; Chordata; Mammalia; Primates; Hominidae
Description: HSALNT0311782
Source: RNAcentral